UACGUAGGGUGCAAGCGUUGUCCGGAAUUAUUGGGCGUAAAGAGCUCGUAGGCGGUCUGUCGCGUCUGCUGUGAAAACUCGGGGCUUAACCCCGGGCCUGCAGUGGGUACGGGCAGACUAGAGUGCGGUAGGGGAGACUGGAAUUCCUGGUGUAGCGGCGAAAUGCGCAGAUAUCAGGAGGAACACCGGUGGCGAAGGCGGGUCUCUGGGCCGUAACUGACGCUGAGGAGCGAAAGCGUGGGGAGCGAACAGG
RNAcentral lists this ribosomal RNA (253 nucleotides) under uncultured bacterium. Its description in RNAcentral is "partial 16S ribosomal RNA". It matches the Rfam family "Bacterial small subunit ribosomal RNA", at positions 524 to 776 of the family's 1533-position model. The record is from RNAcentral.